AUUGAACGCUGGCGGAAUGCCUUACACAUGCAAGUCGAACGGCAGCACGGACUUCGGUCUGGUGGCGAGUGGCGAACGGGUGAGUAAUAUAUCGGAACGUACCCAAGAGUGGGGGAUCACGUAGCGAAAGUUACGCUAAUACCGCAUACGAUCUAAGGAUGAAGGCAGGGGAUCGCAAGACCUUGUGCUCCUGGAGCGGCCGAUGUCUGAUUAGCUAGUUGGUGGGGUAAAGGCCUACCAAGGCGACGAUCAGUAGCUGGUCUGAGAGGACGAUCAGCCACACUGGGACUGAGACACGGCCCAGACUCCUACGGGAGGCAGCAGUGGGGAAUUUUGGACAAUGGGCGAAAGCCUGAUCCAGCAAUGCCGCGUGUGUGAAGAAGGCCUUCGGGUUGUAAAGCACUUUUGUCCGGAAAGAAAUGGCUCUGGUUAAUACCUGGGUCGAUGACGGUACCGGAAGAAUAAGGACCGGCUAACUACGUGCCAGCCGCCGCCGUAA
Molecule: ribosomal RNA, 499 nt
Filed under: uncultured bacterium
Lineage: Bacteria
Description: partial 16S ribosomal RNA
Rfam family: Bacterial small subunit ribosomal RNA
Source: RNAcentral